CUAGUAUGAGAGGGUUUUGGUUGGGGUUUGCAAAUUGCAACUGCACUUUUGAAGUGUCUUCUUCUUCACAUUGCAUGUAUCAAUCAUAAACAGAUAACCCUUUCAGAUUCAGUAUCACACACACAACAAUCUGGUGAGUCUAUUUUCAUUUUCCUUAAUCUUAAUUUCUUGCUUUUAUCCGAAGAAAAACAAUGGAAACUACACAGUUAUCACUCACUUCACCAAAACUCUCCUUUUUAUCAUCUUCUUCUACCCCUUUAUCAUUUUUCAUCUCAAACAAACUUCAAUUUCUGAAAAAGCCUAAUCUUUCUGUCAAACUCAAUUGUUCACUUCAAAAAUCCCAAUUUUUGGGAACCAAUUUAGGUUUGUUUGUUCCAUCCCAUGUCGAUAGACCUAGGUUUCAAAUUGGGCCAAUAAGAGCUGCUGUGAAGAGAAGAAAAGAGAGGCCUUUUGAUAAUGUGAUUCAGAAAGACAAGAAGCUUAAAUUUGUUCUCAAGGUGAGGAAAUUACUAGUGAGUCAACCUAAUAGGGUUAUGUCUCUUCAGGAAUUGGGUAAGCAUAAAAGGGAUUUAGGGUUAGAUAAAAAGAGGAGAUUGAUUGCAGUCUUGAGGAGAUUUCCUGGUGUUUUUGAGAUUUUGGAAGAAGGGUGUUUUUCUCUUAAGUUCAAAAUGACUUCUGAGGCUGAAAGGCUUUAUCUUGAGGAGUUGAGGGUUAGGAAUGGAAUGGAAGAUGUUGUAGUUACUAAGCUUAGGAAAUUGUUGAUGAUGUCUUUGGAAAAGAGGAUUUUGUUAGUGAAAAUUGCUCAUUUGGCAACUGAUUUGGGAUUACCGAGAGAAUUUCGCGACACGGUUUGUCAUAGGUAUCCGGAGUUUUUCAAAGUUGUUGAGACGGAAAGAGGUCCUGCGCUUGAAUUAACACAUUGGGAUCCUCAGCUUGCGGUUUCUGCGGCUGAGUUAUCUGCGGAAGAUAAUCGAAUUAGAGAAAUGGAAGAGCAGAAUUUUAUUAUAGAUAGGGCUCCUAAAUUCAAUAGAGUGAAGCUUCCUAAGGGUCUUAAUCUUUCAAAAGGUGAGAUGAGAAAGAUAAUGCAGUUCAGAGACAUUCCUUAUAUAUCGCCUUACUCGGAUUUCUCAAUGCUUCGUUCGGGGACGCCGGAGAAAGAGAAGCAUGCUUGCGGAGUUAUUCAUGAGAUUUUGAGUCUCACACUUGAGAAGCGGACUCUUGUUGACCACAUGACCCAUUUCCGUGAAGAGUUUAGAUUCUCUCAGCAGUUGAGAGGGAUGUUGAUAAGACAUCCUGAUAUGUUUUAUAUCUCUUUGAAAGGAGACAGGGAUUCUGUGUUUCUUAGGGAAGCUUAUCGAGAUUCUCAGUUGGUAGACAAGGACAGAUUGUUACUUAUAAAGGAGAAACUUCGCUCUCUGGUUGAAGUUCCACGGUUUCGUAAAGGUAGGGGUGCUGCCCACACUAGAGUUGGAGAUGGCACGGAAGAGAAUGAUAUUGAUAACAGACAAGACGAAAGUGGUGAUGAGGAACAAGAAUGGUCAGAUGGUGAUGAUUUUAACAGUGAUGGUGAUGACGGCGACGAUAAUGAUGAUGACUGGAUUGACGAAGAAGAUGAUGAUGAUGAUGAUGAUGAUGAUGAUACAGCGCUAGAUUUUGAUGACGAAGAAGAAGAAGAUUUUGAUGAUGAUGAUGAUGAUGAUGAUGAUGAUGAUGAUGAAGGCGUAAAACAGAAUAAUGAAAAGGUCCUUGCUCCAUCAUUCCCCGAUGGUCGUCUCAGAGAACGGUGGUAAUCUUGAAAAGCCUUGCAAGCUCAUGCUCAGAAUUUUUCUUGGAAGAAUAUGAACAAAGACGUAGAUGUUAUGUCCAAAUCAUAGCAAAAUGUCGAACUGAUUUAGAUGACUAUAUCUGCUGUAUAAUAGAUUGAUGCUUCUUAGAAGAUUAUAAUAAGCUAUGGCUUAUACGGCAUUUGGCAUGGCUACAUCUCUGACAACGUUUGCGACUAACGAUAUUACGAAAGCGAGGAGUUGUCGUCGUCGGUUGUGAUCCUGCGUAGACAUGAGUAAGCGUUCCAUUAUGCAUAGAUCAUAUUUUGAUAACUAUCUAUGUUGUUCGUUCAAACGUAUACACGGUGCGUCGGUUCAACCGAAGCUUAAGGAGAAUGGAUCAAUGGGAAGUGGAACUUUGUUGUUUUUAGCUUUCUUAAUCAUUU
RNA transcript from Vicia villosa (hairy vetch), 2209 nucleotides. It is a transcript of the gene named protein WHAT'S THIS FACTOR 1 homolog, chloroplastic, with no coding region annotated. The record is from RefSeq and is a predicted model, not a curated record. Lineage: Eukaryota; Viridiplantae; Streptophyta; Magnoliopsida; Fabales; Fabaceae. The transcript has 2 exons.